RNAcentral lists this ribosomal RNA (496 nucleotides) under uncultured bacterium. Its description in RNAcentral is "partial 16S ribosomal RNA". It matches the Rfam family "Bacterial small subunit ribosomal RNA", at positions 30 to 523 of the family's 1533-position model. The record is from RNAcentral.
AUUGAACGCUGGCGGAAUGCUUUACACAUGCAAGUCGAACGGUAGAGGGGGCAACCCCUCGAGAGUGGCGAACGGGUGAGUAAUAUAUCGGAACGUGCCCAGUCGUGGGGGAUAACGUAGCGAAAGUUACGCUAAUACCGCAUACGAUCUAAGGAUGAAAGCGGGGGAUCGCAAGACCUCGCGCGAUUGGAGCGGCCGAUAUCAGAUUAGGUAGUUGGUGGGGUAAAGGCUCACCAAGCCAACGAUCUGUAGCUGGUCUGAGAGGACGACCAGCCACACUGGAACUGAGACACGGUCCAGACUCCUACGGGAGGCAGCAGUGGGGAAUUUUGGACAAUGGACGCAAGUCUGAUCCAGCCAUUCCGCGUGCAGGAUGAAGGCCCUCGGGUUGUAAACUGCUUUUGUACGGAACGAAAAGGUCUCUCUUAAUACGGGGGGCUCAUGACAGUACCGUAAGAAUGAGCACCGGCUAACUACGUGCCAGCAGCCGCGGUAA